GGACAAGGGCUGUGACUCAGUGGUAGAAUAUCUGCUUUGCAUUGCAGAAGGUCUCAGGAUCAAUCCUUGGCCUCUCCA
RNAcentral lists this transfer RNA (78 nucleotides) under Sphaerodactylus townsendi. RNAcentral describes it as "tRNA-Ala". The record is from RNAcentral. Lineage: Eukaryota; Metazoa; Chordata; Lepidosauria; Squamata; Sphaerodactylidae.